UCCUACGGGGGGCUGCAGUGGGGAAUAUUGCGCAAUGGGCGAAAGCCUGACGCAGCAACGCCGCGUGAGUGAAGAAGGCCUUCGGGUCGUAAAGCUCUGUCAUAGGAGAAGAAGUGCUAUUAUAGAAAAUAUGAUAGUAUGACGGUAUCCUAGGAGGAAGCCACGGCUAACUACGUGCCAGCAGCCGCGGUAAUACGUAGGUGGCGAGCGUUGUCCGGAAUUACUGGGCGUAAAGGGCGUGUAGGCGGUCUAGCAAGGCUAAUGUGAAACCCCAGGGCUUAACCGUGGGCAUGCAUAAGAAACUGCAGGACUUGAGGGCAAGAGAGGAAAGUGGAAUUCCUAGUGUAGCGGUGAAAUGCGUAGAUAUUAGGAGGAACACCGGUGGCGAAGGCGACUUUCUGGAUUGUCCCUGACGCUGAGGCGCGAAAGCGUGGGGAGCAAACAGGAUUAGAUACCCCUGUAGUCC
This 466-nucleotide ribosomal RNA is filed under the name uncultured Desulfitibacter sp. Its description in RNAcentral is "bacterial SSU rRNA". It matches the Rfam family "Bacterial small subunit ribosomal RNA", at positions 337 to 796 of the family's 1533-position model. Lineage: Bacteria; Bacillati; Bacillota; Clostridia; Neomoorellales; Desulfitibacteraceae. The record is from RNAcentral.